GUGGGGAAUAUUGGGCAAUGGGCGAAAGCCUGACCCAGCAACGCCGCGUGAAGGAAGAAGGUCUUCGGAUCGUAAACUUCUAUCCUUGGUGAAGAUAAUGACGGUAGCCGAGAAGGAAGCCCCGGCUAACUACGUGCCAGCAGCCGCGGUAAUACGUAGGGGGCAAGCGUUGUCCGGAAUGAUUGGGCGUAAAGGGCGCGUAGGCGGCCUGGUAAGUCUGGAGUGAAAGUACUGCUUUUAAGGUGGGAAUUGCUUUGGAUACUGUCGGGCUUGAGUGCAGGAGAGGUAAGUGGAAUUCCCGGUGUAGCGGUGAAAUGCGUAGAGAUCGGGAGGAACACCAGUGGCGAAGGCGACUUACUGGACUGUAACUGACGCUGAGGCGCGAAAGUGUGGGGAGCAAACAGGAUUAGAAACCCCUGUAGUCC
RNAcentral lists this ribosomal RNA (425 nucleotides) under uncultured bacterium. RNAcentral's name for it is "partial 16S ribosomal RNA". It matches the Rfam family "Bacterial small subunit ribosomal RNA", at positions 354 to 796 of the family's 1533-position model. The record is from RNAcentral.